This 514-nucleotide ribosomal RNA is filed under the name uncultured bacterium. RNAcentral describes it as "bacterial SSU rRNA". It matches the Rfam family "Bacterial small subunit ribosomal RNA", at positions 791 to 1314 of the family's 1533-position model. The record is from RNAcentral.
UAGUCCACGCCGUAAACGAUGGAUACUCGGUGCAGGGAGAAUCGAUCCUCUCUGUGUCUAAGCUAACGCGUUAAGUAUCCCGCCUGGGGAGUACGAUCGCAAGAUUAAAACUCAAAGGAAUUGACGGGGAUCCACACAAGCGGUGGAGCAUGUGGUUUAAUUCGACGAUAAGCGAGGAACCUUACCUAGGCUUGACAUCUAUCUAACGCUCUGGAAACAGGGAAGUGCCCUUUUGGGAAAGAUAUGACAGGUGCUGCAUGGUUGUCGUCAGCUCGUGCCGUGAGGUGUACGGUUAAGUCCGAUAACGAGCGCAACCCUUGUCGCUAGUUGUAUUUCUCUAGCGAGACUGCCCGUGUAAGCGGGAGGAAGGUGAGGAUGACGUCAAAUCAGCAUGGCUCUUACGCCUAGGGCUACACACGUGCUACAAUGGGGUAUACAAUGGGUAGCCAACCCGCGAGGGGGAGCCGAAUCCCACCAAACGUACCUCCAAGUUCGGAUUGAAGGCUGAAAUUCG